RNAcentral lists this ribosomal RNA (460 nucleotides) under uncultured bacterium. RNAcentral describes it as "partial 16S ribosomal RNA". It matches the Rfam family "Bacterial small subunit ribosomal RNA", at positions 338 to 795 of the family's 1533-position model. The record is from RNAcentral.
CCUACGGGUGGCAGCAGUGAGGAAUAUUGGUCAAUGGACGAGAGUCUGAACCAUCCAAGUAGCGUGAAGGAUGACUGCCCUAUGGGUUGUAAACUUCUUUUAUAUGGGAAUAAAAUGUUCCACGUGUGGGCUUUUGUAUGUACCAUAUGAAUAAGGAUCGGCUAACUCCGUGCCAGCAGCCGCGGUAAUACGGAGGAUCCGAGCGUUAUCCGGAUUUAUUGGGUUUAAAGGGAGCGUAGGUGGAUUGUUAAGUCAGUUGUGAAAGUUUGCGGCUCAACCGUAAAAUUGCAGUUGAAACUGGCAGUCUUGAGUACGGUAGAGGUGGGCGGAAUUCGUGGUGUAGCGGUGAAAUGCUUAGAUAUCACGAAGAACUCCGAUUGCGAAGGCAGCUCACUGGACUGCAACUGACACUGAGGCUCGAAAGUGUGGGUAUCAAACAGGAUUAGAUACCCGAGUAGUC